GGCAGGAAUCCCCGCCAAUUCCCGCUCAGCCGGAAGCGCCAAGACCGGCCUGUCACGCCGGAGGUCGCGGGUUCGAGUCCCGUCGCUCCCGCCUCGA
Molecule: transfer RNA, 97 nt
Filed under: Actinomycetes bacterium
Lineage: Bacteria; Bacillati; Actinomycetota; Actinomycetes
Description: Actinobacteria bacterium tRNA-Asp
Rfam family: tRNA (bases 32-91)
About the family: Transfer RNA (tRNA) molecules are approximately 80 nucleotides in length. Their secondary structure includes four short double-helical elements and three loops (D, anti-codon, and T loops).
Source: RNAcentral